ACAAAGAGAAAAGUUGUGGUCCUCAUCAUAUGUUAUCACUAAAGUAACUAAAAGAGUUUGCAUGUAUUUGUAUGAAGUUUCAAAUAACUUAAAACUUAUCAAUGGCUGAAAAACAUUACUGGAUACAUAAAAAAGGAUGAAACUUGUGUAGAUCAACCAGUUUGCUCUGCUAUCCUUGACUCUGCAGAAUGUGAGUCUCUGCAGUCACAAACUCAUUCCAUAGGCCAUACUAAUUUCAUGACUGAAUUAUUAGCCAAUUAUGCAUAUAGUGAUAUAGGUGAUGAAUUCUUCGUAUAUAAUCUUCUGAUGCUGCAUCUUAGCAGUGAAAUUUCACUAGACUUUGUCUUCAACUCCGUCCUAAAGUUCUCCAGCUGGCCAGCUUAAUCUAUAUCAUGAUCUGAUGAGAUUUCUUAAAGUCCAAGUUUACAAUACUAUCUACUUCUUCAGUGGGGGAUUGGGUCCUUUUGUUAAUGAUUUAUGAGCAAGAAGAGCACUACCUAGCUCUGUAGCAAAUUUGAUUUGGACGGGAACAGUGUUGAGUGGCUCUUGGAGGCUUGGAGCUUUUUGCUCAGUUACUGUAUGACGAUACCUACCCAUUAACUCAAAGUAUACUUCAUCUUCCCAGGAAUCUCUCUAGAAAAUGAGCAAGAGCUGCAUCAAGAUACUCCUUUACCACAGAAGGUUGGAAUGGAUCUUUGUCAACUAGUCGUCUUCAUAUGUAAAGUAGCUGGUAGAUUCUUCUCCACCUGCUUUUCCAUUCUCCUAGCGGUGGUCCAUAGUUUGGACUAGAGAUAAUAUACCUUACAACUGUGCUUUGGAGCACUGAAUUUUUUAUACAGCCACAUUAUUAUACUUUUUAGGCUAUGGAAGCAGGAACCUCAACUUUUAGCAGCAGGCCAACAAAAUGGAAUUUUUGGGUGGGCAUGAGAAAAAUCUUGGAUUCUAAAUGUGAUUAAUGAGAAGUUGAGAAUUGUAUCAAGUAAAUGGUAAAUACUAUGAUAAUGUUGCAAUUGACACCUUAGAUGUAAAAAUUGAUAAUUUUGGAGGGUGACUGUUGACAGAUACACAUACAUACUACACUAUUACAUAAGAAUAUACAAUUCUUAACAUCCUGUGACAAGUUUAGAGGGUGACUGUUAAUGGUGUAUCUUAUGUAUCAAUCAUUCAAACGACAUUUGGCAUGCUGUACCUAAUUAUUAGUCACAUUAUUCAUAUUGUUUGCAUUACAAUUUGGGGUGAUGAAUUUUUUGUUCAUAUGGUAAACUCCAUCCAGUGAGAUAAGGGCUUCUACUUGAUCGGUUAUCUUGUCGGUGAGUAGCAUCACUGCUACAUCCCCCAAGUCCUCACUUCAAAGAAUAAAAUGCUAGUAUUCUAAGUAUGUUGUUAGACCUCUCUUUUUUCUUUCUUUCUGUAAUAAUUUUUCCUUUUGUUUCUGUGCAUCCCUUCUAUUAUGACAAAGAUGUCAGAGUCUCAGGAAUAAUUAAGCUCAUUAUAUUGUGGCAGGACUAGACAUUAAUUUUAAAGGCGCGAGGAAAAGGUAUUCCAUUUCUUAUAUGGGAUGAGCCUAGUUAGUACUUAGUAGUGAGGUCAGCUAUCAGCAACUUAACCUCUGAAAUUUUCCAAGUACCUGAUGCUUUGUUUUGAGCUUAUUGUUUCUGAAACUAAGGUGAUUAUGUCAGGUAUAAGGAACAAUAUACUUCCAUCAGUACUUGUGAUUC
Long non-coding RNA from Chenopodium quinoa (quinoa), 1718 nucleotides. RefSeq lists it as uncharacterized. The record is from RefSeq and is a predicted model, not a curated record. The transcript is spliced from 3 exons. Lineage: Eukaryota; Viridiplantae; Streptophyta; Magnoliopsida; Caryophyllales; Amaranthaceae.